UCCGUUUCCGCGUAUUCCGCUCCAUGGGACGCCACCCUGACAGUUCUGGCGGGAUUUGGGAUAGCAGGAAGGUUAAGUGCCCAGACAGCACAUGAUAUUAUACGAAUAUUUUGUACUCAUACUAUUAAUAACCUGUAGUUACUAGUAACCACUUACUGCCGCGACGUGGCGACCGCGCGUUAGCCUUUCUCGAAGCCUACUGAUGCCCUACUACCCUCAAUUAGAAAUUAUAUAGCGUAACAAGGGGCAAGUCAUGAGGUCUUGAUAAGGAAAACCUGACCAGGCAAUUAAUUAUGUGAUCAAAAUAUUUUAUUAAUAUACUUAUGAUAUACCAAAAAAUAUUCUCCGUAUAUGUAUACUUAAUAGACUUCUAGGGCAGACAUAGAAACAUCCUCCGUACAUUCUUAAAAUAUCGUGGUACGUAUUUCGAAAAUUAAUGGGAUAUACACAAUCUACGUUUGCAAUAUACUGCGUAUAUACUCAGAAUCUACUGUGCUGUAUGGGUAAUAUGAGUGCUUUGAUGGAUCCCCUUUGAUUUUUAUAAAUUCAUAUAACUUUUUUCAUAAAAAAAUAUCACUUGAUGCGUUA
Molecule: long non-coding RNA, 588 nt
Organism: Vollenhovia emeryi
Lineage: Eukaryota; Metazoa; Arthropoda; Insecta; Hymenoptera; Formicidae
Exons: 3
Source: RefSeq, a predicted model, not a curated record